RNAcentral lists this long non-coding RNA (209 nucleotides) under Sorghum bicolor (sorghum). Its description in RNAcentral is "long non-coding RNA (SBIC_LNC018120)". Lineage: Eukaryota; Viridiplantae; Streptophyta; Magnoliopsida; Poales; Poaceae. The record is from RNAcentral.
CGGGCCUGUUUAGUUGGGCUCAUUUUUCUUAUCACUCAUCGUACGUGAAAACUUUUAGUAAUAUUUUCGUUUUUAUUUUACAAUUAUUAUUCAAUCAUCAAUUAACUAGGCUCAAAAUAUUCGCAAAUUUCAAAUAACUAUACAAUUAGUUAUUUUUUUAUCUACAUUUAAUGCUUCAUGUAUGAGCCGCAAGAUUUGAUGUAAUGGGG